This 254-nucleotide ribosomal RNA is filed under the name uncultured bacterium. RNAcentral describes it as "partial 16S ribosomal RNA". It matches the Rfam family "Bacterial small subunit ribosomal RNA", at positions 524 to 776 of the family's 1533-position model. The record is from RNAcentral.
UACGUAGGGACCGAGCGUUGUCCGGAAUCAUUGGGCGUAAAGAGCGUGUAGGCGGCCUUUUAAGUCCUGCGUGAAAUCCUGCGGCUCAACCGCAGACGGUCGUGGGAAACUGGAAGGCUAGAGUGCGGGAGAGGAGAGUGGAAUUCCCGGUGUAGUGGUGAAAUGCGUAGAUAUCGGGAGGAACACCAGUGGCGAAGGCGACUACCUGGCCUGUUUCUUGACGCUGAGGCGCGAAAGCUAGGGGAGCAAACGGG